RNAcentral lists this ribosomal RNA (458 nucleotides) under uncultured bacterium. Its description in RNAcentral is "bacterial SSU rRNA". It matches the Rfam family "Bacterial small subunit ribosomal RNA", at positions 340 to 786 of the family's 1533-position model. The record is from RNAcentral.
UACGGAAGGCAGCAGUGGGGAAUAUUGCACAAUGGGACGAAAGCCUGAUGCAGCUAUGCCGCGUGUAUGAAGAAGGCCUUAGGGUUGUAAAGUACUUUCAUCGGGGAGGAAAAAACAAAACUAAUAAUUUUAUUUCUUGACGUUACCCGAAAAAGAAGCACCGGCUAACUCCGUGCCAGCAGCCGCGGUAAUACGGAGGGUGCUAGCGUUAAUCAGAAUUACUGGGCGUAAAGAGCACGUAGGUGGUUUUUUUAAGUCAGAUGUGAAAUCCCUGGGCUUAACCUAGGAACUGCAUUUUGAAACUGAAAUACUAGAGUAUCGUAGAGGGAGGUAGAAUUCUAGGUGUAGCGGUGAAAUGCGUAGAUAUCUGGAGGAAUACCUGUGGCGAAAGCGGCCUCCUAAACGAAUACUGACACUGAGGUGCGAAAGCGUGGGGAGCGAAACAGGGAUUAGAUACC